AACGCUAGCUACAGGCUUAACACAUGCAAGUCGAGGGGAAACGAUAUUGGAAGCUUGCUUCCGAUAGGCGUCGACCGGCGCACGGGUGAGUAACGCGUAUCCAACCUGCCCACCACUUGGGGAUAACCUUGCGAAAGUAAGACUAAUACCCAAUGAUAUCUCAAGAAGACAUCUGAAUGAGAUUAAAGAUUUAUCGGUGAUGGAUGGGGAUGCGUCUGAUUAGCUUGUUGGCGGGGUAACGGCCCACCAAGGCUACGAUCAGUAGGGGUUCUGAGAGGAAGGUCCCCCACAUUGGAACUGAGACACGGUCCAAACUCCUACGGGAGGCAGCAGUGAGGAAUAUUGGUCAAUGGGCGAGAGCCUGAACCAGCCAAGUAGCGUGCAGGAUGACGGCCCUAUGGGUUGUAAACUGCUUUUAUAAGGGAAUAAAGUGAGUCUCGUGAGACUUUUUGCAUGUACCUUAUGAAUAAGGACCGGCUAAUUCCGUGCCAGCAGCCGCGGUAAUACGGAAGGUCCGGGCGUUAUCCGGAUUUAUUGGGUUUAAAGGGAGCGUAGGCCGGAGAUUAAGCGUGUUGUGAAAUGUAGAUGCUCAACAUCUGAAUUGCAGCGCGAACUGGCAGACUUGAGUGUGCGCAACGUAGGCGGAAUUCGUGGUGUAGCGGUGAAAUGCUUAGAUAUCACGAAGAACUCCGAUUG
This 696-nucleotide ribosomal RNA is filed under the name uncultured bacterium. RNAcentral's name for it is "bacterial SSU rRNA". It matches the Rfam family "Bacterial small subunit ribosomal RNA", at positions 32 to 715 of the family's 1533-position model. The record is from RNAcentral.